UGAGCACAAUAUAUCACAAUAUUUUAGAGAGGUAUAAACGGAUGAUUCGUUCUUGAAGAAUUUCAGGAACAUACCUGCUACUGUGAUAUUAGAUUACCAUAUGACGCUCGAUGCUCUGUAUACGUCGGAUAAUACGGAGUCUGGUUCAGUUGUUUAUUGUAGGAGAUGAAAGAUUUUGAAUAAUUUUUAUCUAUUGACAAAUGGACCUUUAUAUUGAGUUUUUAAAAGAAUUGACGACACAGUUUCAUGUCCACCUCAGAAUAUUAUGAGGGAUAAUCCAUAUGAAUAGCCUUGAAAAAGACCAGAAAUAAAGGUCGAAACGUCGGCAUCUCAUUAAGGAUUUUUAUUUUCCCCUGUCCUCUUUGCCACUACAUGG
Long non-coding RNA from Coccinella septempunctata (seven-spotted ladybird), 376 nucleotides. RefSeq lists it as uncharacterized. NCBI's taxonomy places the organism in Eukaryota, Metazoa, Arthropoda, Insecta, Coleoptera, Coccinellidae. The record is from RefSeq and is a predicted model, not a curated record. The transcript is spliced from 2 exons.